This 508-nucleotide ribosomal RNA is filed under the name uncultured bacterium. RNAcentral describes it as "bacterial SSU rRNA". It matches the Rfam family "Bacterial small subunit ribosomal RNA", at positions 8 to 507 of the family's 1533-position model. The record is from RNAcentral.
AGAGUUUGAUCCUGGCUCAGAUUGAACGCUGGCGGCAUGCCUUACACAUGCAAGUCGAACGGCAGCACGGGAGCUUGCUCCUGGUGGCGAGUGGCGAACGGGUGAGUAAUACAUCGGAACGUACCCUGAAGUGGGGGAUAACGUAGCGAAAGUUACGCUAAUACCGCAUAUUCUGUGAGCAGGAAAGAGGGGGGAUCGCAAGACCUCUUGCUUUAGGAGCGGCCGAUGUCGGAUUAGCUAGUUGGUGAGGUAAAGGCUCACCAAGGCGACGAUCCGUAGCGGGGUCUGAGAGGAUGAUCCGCCACACUGGGACUGAGACACGGCCCAGACUCCUACGGGAGGCAGCAGUGGGGAAUUUUGGACAAUGGGCGCAAGCCUGAUCCAGCCAUGCCGCGUGAGUGAAGAAGGCCUUCGGGUUGUAAAGCUCUUUCGGUGGGGAAGAAAUUGCUUCGGUUAAUACCUGGAGUAGAUGACGGUACCCGCAUAAGAAGCACCGGCUAACUACGUG